UUCGACCAUCAGAUGAAGUGAUUCUUUUCUCUAAUACAGAUGAUGCCGAACUAAGAACUGAGCCUCCUAGCAAGCAAGCUAACUAGCUAG
Long non-coding RNA from Etheostoma cragini (Arkansas darter), 90 nucleotides. RefSeq lists it as uncharacterized. Lineage: Eukaryota; Metazoa; Chordata; Actinopteri; Perciformes; Percidae. The record is from RefSeq and is a predicted model, not a curated record. The transcript has 3 exons.